RNAcentral lists this ribosomal RNA (460 nucleotides) under uncultured bacterium. RNAcentral's name for it is "partial 16S ribosomal RNA". It matches the Rfam family "Bacterial small subunit ribosomal RNA", at positions 338 to 795 of the family's 1533-position model. The record is from RNAcentral.
CCUACGGUGGACAGCAGUGAGGAAUAUUGGUCAAUGGGCGCGAGCCUGAACCAGCCAAGUAGCGUGAAGGAUGACUGCCCUACGGGUUGUAAACUUCUUUUGUAAAGGAAUAAAGUGAGGCACGUGUGCCUUUUUGUAUGUACUUUAUGAAUAAGGAUCGGCUAACUCCGUGCCAGCAGCCGCGGUAAUACGGAGGAUCCGAGCGUUAUCCGGAUUUAUUGGGUUUAAAGGGUGCGUAGGUGGGUUGUUAAGUCAGUUGUGAAAGUUGGCGGCUCAACCGUGAAAUUGCAGUUGAUACUGGCAGUCUUGAGUGCAGUUGAGGUAGGCGGAAUGCGUGGUGUAGCGGUGAAAUGCUUAGAGAUCACGAAGAACUCCGAUUGCGAAGGCAGCUUACCAAGCUGCCACUGACGUUGAGGCACGAAAGUGUGGGUAGCAAACAGGAUUAGAUACCCUAGUAGUC